UGACCUGCAGCCAGCUCUGUGUAUGAGGGUGUGACCCGGGGACAGCGCUACUGCAGCCUUCAGGUUUCCUGGGACUCCUCAGCUCCUCAUUCUUUGUAGGAAAGUCUGAGUUUGCAGAUUUGAGGUCCAAGGUAAGUAUUUCAGAUCUUUAUUGGAAAAUCUCAAAGUAACAUCCUAAGUGAAUUUGGGGAACAGAAGCCUAAUUUUCUGAGAUCCAAGAAAACUUGCAUUCUAUGCUUCCUCUUGAUUCUUCAAAAAUGCCUUAACUCUCUUGGCCCUCUGCUCUGCUGUGUAAAUCUACAAUCAGCCUCUCAGUUUAUACAUGCACAUGCACACCACACGCACACCACACACACACACACACACAUGCGCGCGCGCGCACAGAGAACCUGUCGGGAAUUAGGAUUGCAUCAAAUCCACAGAUCACUACCGGAAGAAGUAAUAUUCUUCUCAGUAUUGACUCUUACAAUUUGUAACAUGAUAUAUCCCUUCCUUCUUUUAUUUGGAACUCAGUAAUAUAUCUCAGUGAUGAUGAUAAUUUUCUGUAGGUCAUGCACAUUAUUUGUAAGACUUAUUCCUAGGUGUUAAUGUUUUAUGUUCUUACAAAAGAAGUACUUUUAACAUUUAAUUUUCUAAGGGUUACUGUUAUUAGAAAUAAGAUUGUUUGCAGCCAAUAUUGAUUUUUUUUAAAUUUUUUAUUGUUGGUUGUUCAAAACAUUACAUAGUUCUUGAUAUAUCAUAUUUCACACUUUGAUUCAAGUGGGUUAUGAGCUCCCAUUUUUACCCCAUAUACAAAUUGCAGAAUCACAUCAGUUACACAUCCAUUGAUUUACAUAUUGCCAUACUAGUGUCUGUUGUGUUCUGCUGCCUUUCCUAUCCUCUACUAUCCCCCCUCCCCUCCCCUCCCCUCCCUUCUUCUCUCUCUGCCCCCUCUACUGACAUUCAUUUGUCCCCCUUGUANUUGGCAUUUGUUUUUUAGGGAUUGGCUAGCUUCACUUAGCAUAAUCUGCUCUAAUGCCAUCCAUUUCCCUGUAAAUUCUAUGAUUUUGUCAUUUUUUAAUGCAGAGUAAUACUCCAUUGUGUAUAAAUGCCACAAUUUUUUUAUCCAUUUAUCUAUUGAAGGGCAUCUAGGUUGGUUCCAUAGUCUUGCUAUUGUGAAUUGUGCUGCUAUGAACAUCCAUGUCCCAACCACUCCUCCCAAUAUUGAUUUUGUAUCCAGCAUCCUUCUGAAAUUCACUCAAUGAUUCUAAUUAAGUUGUAGAUUCUUUCAUAUUUUCUGUAGAUAAAAAUCCUGCUACCCGAAACUCUGGGUCUUACAUCUCCAUUUCUCUUUCUUACUUUAUCAUACUGACGAGCACUUCCAAUGAAAAUAUUGAAUAAUCCCAUUAUCUUUCAAUUGAUUUUUGUCAAAUUUCACUCAGCAGUUUACCCAUUUGAGAAAGACAACUUUAAAAUUAUCUUCUUUCAAAAAGUUGCAAUUUGAGCUGUCAUGGUUCUGUAACUGAGGAAAACAAAACACAGGCUCUAUGGAUUCCAUAGAGAAGAAAUUGAAGUCAAAUGAUGCAGGGAUCAACUUGGCCAGAUGAGGGGGAAGUGGGUAGAUAACUUCUAUGAUUAAAUAAAGAAUAUUUCUUUUCUGUGAAAAUUUCACAGGAUUUAACUUUAUCAUAUUUUUAAGUACUCAAACAUAAAUUCACUUUAUGAUCCCUAUUUGGUUAUAAACAAAAUAAAACCCAGAAACAUUGGGUUUUCAUCUGGCAACAGAGGCAGCAUAGACUAUUGGAUUCUCAGAUCUCAGAAAAUGAGGCUUUCUUUUCCCAAAAUCUCCCAUGUAGCUUUAAGAUUUCUCCCUGAAAGAUUUGAAGCAAUUACCUCUGUCUGUGGAUUUGCAAAGUCAGUACCUCACUGUCUUAAUUAAAGUUGCUUUUUGGUGAGUCGGGGAGGCUUCAGACACUGGCUCUCUGCUCUAGGUGGCCUCUGCCCUCAGACUGGGCACAGGAUGGUGGAGGGAGAAGGAGGCCGUGGAGUCUUUCUCAGGGAUCCAUCAAUAUCUCAGCUUACUUUGCUUCUCCUCUGACUCAUUUUCAUUCCCAGCCAAGAGACUCUUAAUCUAGUCUCCAAGGUGGAGACCUCUGCCCUCCAUCUAAUCAUAUAUCCUUUCAAAUUUAUUUUUAUGUUCUGACUUCUUUCCUAUACUCUCUUGAGAGAUAGGCUUUUGAAAUCCAAAAGCCCGAGAUUUACUUCUGCUUUCUUUUACAUCAUCCCUCCCUGAGCUAAUGAAUUAUUAUGACUAAAUUGGCAGCAGAGCAAAGACCAUAAAGAAAUGUUAAGGAGAAAACUAAAUCAUGUCUGAAAAUAUCAUCCUACCCGAUUUAUCUAGAGUUAUAAAGAUAAAUAUGGGCCAAAUAUAAACAUUGGGAAGUUUUGAGGAAGUAGAUGAUGAGCUAGAGUAAGUCGGAAAAGCCUUAUUGUAACAAUUAAACUAAAAUUAAUUCAGUGGCCUUAUCUGAUAACUCAUUUUCUAUGGCAUAUCAAUUGGCCCAGGAAAGAUUUUAAUCAGGGAAAACUAAAAUACACAUGUCAGGGCCUCUCUUCAUCCCUCAACUUCAUUAUUCCAUGAACUGCUUACAUCUAGUUACUGUGGGACCCAGAGGGCCUGUUAGUGGAGACUCCAAAUGCUUAACACCCUGCCCCAUAUGGGGAUUGAACCCAGGGGCCCUAUACUGCUCAGCCACAUACCCAGCCCUUUAUAAAAAUUUUUGAGGCAGAGUCUAACUAAGUUGCCCAGGCUGAGCUUGAACUUGAAGUCCCUCUGCUUCAGCCUCCUGAGUAGAGGGGAUUAAAGACAUGCAACAACAUGCAAAACCUGUAAGUGGUUUCCAAAUGAAUAUUUGGUAUCUUAAAAAUUCCUGUUAUAAUCAAAUCAUCUCGGGUUGACAGAAUGCAUUGUUUAAAAAUGUUAAGUUUAAGUAAAUAAAAAUGGAAAAAGUAAUUAGAGAUAUGUGUACUUUGAUGUAACUUAUACUCCCUUCCAGGGUAUACACACAGUCAAGUUAGUAAUUUUUAUAGUUUUUAAGUUAUUUUAAAUAGCACGUAUGUAAAUAAAUUUAUAUAAAUAAGUAAAUUUGCUCAUGAAAUAUUUUAUUGGAGACUGAAAAAAGUGAAAGCUAGUUUUAAAGCUCAAGAGAUUACUUUUUAUUUGUGCUCUUCUUUUUAGUAACCACCAGAUGACCUGCUGUGCUCUCCAGGACACCACUUUUGGUCAAGCAGUGUAGCACCAUCACCCCAAGGACGUCUGUCAUCUGUGUUCAUGCUGUCCGAUUAUAGAUCCAGCUGCUUACUGAAUUUCCUUAAUUGACUAUCUACUCUAGGGCCUAAGAUCUGAAUAUCAUUCCUAUGUCUCUUUCCCUCACUGCUCACAGCUACCUAAUUCACAAAAGUUAAUUGUCCUUGAAUCUCUUCAUCCCCCUCCAUAUCUACUAUGAGUACUCUAGACUUUUACCAUCAAGGAUCUGAAAAACUACAGAAGAUAGCUGACUUUCUCUCUCAUCAUCCUCUGAUCUAUUAUCCACAUUGCAACCAACAAGAAAAUUUUAAUUGACACAUAGCUGAACAUAUAUGGGGGCUCAAUGUGAUAUUACAGUGGAUGUAUGUAAUACGCAAGGAUCAGAUGGGGUAACUGGCAUCCAUCGCCUUGGGCAUCGAUCAUUUCUUUGUGCCAGGAACUUUCAAGAUUCUCUCUAAUAGCUAUUUUGCGGUAUUUAACUGUUACCAACCACAGUUACCCUGCUGUGAUACAGAAGGUUAGCAAUUAUUCCUCCCACCCCACUUCACCCCUGUUUGCAUUGCCAGUCCUCUCCACCCCUCCUUUCUCCACGCUGCCCCCAGGCUGUGUGACCACUAUCCUAUUCAACUCUUUGCAAAUGUCUUAGUGUCCACUACAAGUGGGGAUGUGCAAUGUCAUCUUUCUGUGCCUGACUUAUUUCACUUAACACAUUGACCUCUAGUUCCAUCCCUGAGGAUGAAAGUGACAGAAUUUCAUUCUUCUUUAUGGCUGAGGAAAACUCCAUUGUGUAUACGUACCACAUUUCCUUUUUCCAUUCAUCUGUUGAUGGACACCCACGCUGAUCAGAUCUUGGCUGUUGUGAAUAUGUGAAUGCAGGUGUCUCUGCAGUAAAACUAUUUCUAUUUCUUAGGAUGUGUAAAGUGGGAUUCCCAGCAAGGUCUCUCUGAAUGGCACCAGGCAGCUCCAUUUCCUGGCUUAGAGGAGUUUCAGCUGCAUCUUACUGCAACCCACUGCCAAGGCACAAGCCUCCUCUCCGCCCCUCGAAGCAGAAGUAGGUGUUCUUUAUGAAUUCCUCUUCUUAGAAUCAGUUGUAAUUUGAUUCUUUCUCUUUCCUUACAGAGAAGAAAUACUAUUGUUAUGUUUAUUAUUGAGUCCCCAAUGCCUCAGCCAUAAACAUAAACAGGUGUUAAUUAAUAACAGUCUGAACAAAUAAAUUGGGCUUUGUGUAGCCAGAGCUUGGGAAGUCUUUUCACUUUUCACUAGUAUUUAACCACUUACUAUGCUUCACCAUUUAGGAACAUUUAACAUCGAGUUGCUUCCAAAGAGGAACCCCUUGAUUUACCCAUGAACUAGAGGUCUUGGCUGUAUGGUGUCUGUUUGCUGGUGCCUUUUAGGAAGAACACAGCUUAUCACCACCUGGACACCUCUCUGUCUCUGCUUUUUGAAGACAAGUGCUUUAAGCUUUUUCUUCUGCCUCCAAAUCAAUAGCUUAGCUGAAAGACAUAAACAAUAUCCCUCUAUCUUUCUGUCUCCUCAGUAACCAUCAUGAGUAGGAUUAAAUGCUUUUUGUUGUUGUUGUUUUGAUACAAAUCUCCUUUGAGGAUUGGAAACACACGUCCAGUCUACAUCAGAGCAUCAUUCUGAAAACAUAUUGAAGGAACUUUUAAAAAUAUACACAUAAAUCAAUUUCCUCAUAAGUGGUCAUUUCAGAAUCUCAGCUCUCAGGGAGGUAAAUGUCCACUGUCAUAAUGUAGUUUCGGCUGCACUUUACAUACAAACAAUUUGAGCCCCAGAAAAGCUUCCUGCACAUACAACUUGAUGAGCCACUAGCCGUGACCUCUAUUUCCUUGAAAUUCCUGUCAUGACAAUGGUGCCACGUGGGCUCUCUGUAACAGAUCCUCUCCCUUAUGAGUCUCAAAAGACUAAACCAUCACCAUCAUAAACACCAGUGUCCAGAAAGAUAUCCAGAAAUUUACCAAAUUAAAUGUACCAAAUAGAUGUUUUUUUUAAUUAAACUUUUUUUUUUUUUUAGUAAACUUUGGAAACAGAGGGCUCAUCCUCCAGAAAAAAAGAAAAGGAAAGAGCAGCAAGAGGAAGAAAAGAUGAAUAAGGAGACUUUGGAGAUGCUUCGGUCAGUUAGCAGGAGCCCAGGUGAGGGGGGACGGAAGCCCCAUUCUCAGACUAAAAGGAGCCAGCCAGAGAGACCCCAAGGACAGGCAGAGGGCGCAUCGCCAGAGCGUACAGGAGCAAGUGCGGUUGCCGGGCUGCUGCCUGUCCUCCCUCAUCUGGCCCUCUGGUUUCUAUUUGAGGUCAGCUUCUUCCUCCACUCACAGGGCCCAUCCUGGAUGCACCAUCUCUGUUAGCAUCUGUGUUGCCCGGAGGGUGCUUCCUUGUGUCCUUGAAGCAUUUCCUAAGGUAUGACUCCAACUGUUUGGAUUCCAGGUGUCAUGGAUGCCAACCCAUCAAUCAAAGAUGAACAUCCUUGUCUCCCACAGAGACUAGACUGUUUCCACUUCUGUCUGGAAGGCUCUCCCUGACGAGAGGCGGAGGGCUGUAAUUGCUCUCAAAAUGUAUAAUCACAUCUUACACAUUCCCCAGCACAGAGAAGCAUUUCCAAGUAAGAGAAUCAUAAAAAUACUACAAUAAAUUCUGAAUCUUUGUUUAAAAAAACCUUGCAUAAAAGCCCUGGAAUGUUAGAAAAUCUUCAGAGAUUGAAUGAUUUUCUCUGGAAAGUUGGCAUGUUUGCAAAAACACGGCUGUUAACUCACCUCCUAAUUGGCUUCAGAGUUGCUUGCCUAUCUUAUUUAUAGUUAAUGGCCCACUCUGUACGUGGGAGUCUCUCCUUCAGAGUUAAGCAGCCCGAUUUAAGAGUAAGCUUUCUUCUCUUCACAAGUGUAACAAAGCCAAGACACCCGUACAAUCAGGUUUGCUAAUUUAAUAGUUUGGGAUGUCUUGAUUAUGGUCUAUCCUGGAACUAAGCCUUUCCAGAACAGCCGCCAUCCUUGAUCCAUCUUGGCAUUCUGGAACACACCUGCCACAACCAAGGGCUUCCCAUCCAGUUGGUGAGUCAUUAAAAUAUAUUGAAUGAACACAUAUUCUACCAAGUAAUAGAGAAACAAAACUAAUGAGACUGAAACCUUCUGGCCUCUCAUAUCAAAUGCUAACUUUCAUAUUUGGUCCAGGGUAAUUUUUCACAAAUAGAGCAAUUCAUAAGUUAAGAGGAAGUUAAUGAUGUCCAGAGCACUAGGUAAAAUCUCCCUUAGAAAAGAGAAAAUGCAAUUGGUUUUUCCCCACUUAAUAAACCUUCAAGUCUGCACCCGAAGGCUUUUGAGCUUUGUGUACAUCGGGUUUCCUUAUAGGCACAAAAAGGUAAUAAACACUUACUGUUCAGCAGUUUGUAAAAUGGCAUUGGGGAGCUCUGCCUUCAGAAUGUGUGUGACUUAGAUUGAAUCCACUGUACUCGU
RNAcentral lists this long non-coding RNA (6750 nucleotides) under Marmota monax (woodchuck). Lineage: Eukaryota; Metazoa; Chordata; Mammalia; Rodentia; Sciuridae. The record is from RNAcentral.